Molecule: ribosomal RNA, 486 nt
Filed under: uncultured bacterium
Lineage: Bacteria
Description: partial 16S ribosomal RNA
Rfam family: Bacterial small subunit ribosomal RNA
Source: RNAcentral
AUUGAACGCUGGCGGCAUGCCUUACACAUGCAAGUCGAACGGCAGCACGGGUGCUUGCACCUGGUGGCGAGUGGCGAACGGGUGAGUAAUACAUCGGAACAUGUCCUGUAGUGGGGGAUAGCCCGGCGAAAGCCGGAUUAAUACCGCAUACGAUCUACGGAUGAAAGCGGGGGACCUUCGGGCCUCGCGCUAUCGGGUUGGCCGAUGGCUGAUUAGCUAGUUGGUGGGGUAAACGCCUACCAAGGCGACGAUCAGUAGCUGGUCUGAGAGGACGACCAGCCACACUGGGACUGAGACACGGCCCAGACUCCUACGGGAGGCAGCAGUGGGGAAUUUUGGACAAUGGGCGAAAGCCUGAUCCAGCAAUGCCGCGUGUGUGAAGAAGGCCUUCGGGUUGUAAAGCACUUUUGUCCGGAAAGAAAUCCUUGGCCCUAAUACGGUCGGGGGAUGACGGUACCGGAAGAAUAAGCACCGGCUAACUACGUG